Silurus meridionalis is the source of this 2638-nucleotide long non-coding RNA. RefSeq lists it as uncharacterized. The record is from RefSeq and is a predicted model, not a curated record. NCBI's taxonomy places the organism in Eukaryota, Metazoa, Chordata, Actinopteri, Siluriformes, Siluridae. The transcript is spliced from 3 exons.
AAUUGUCUGGAGAAUUGGAUUGUCUUGGUUGCAGGAUCCACCCUGGAAAACAAUUGAUGUACAACAGCAGAAAGUGAGAUAGAGAAUACACAGAUACACCUGAGCUGCAGGUAAACUUUAUUAUCUAUAUAUACAUUAAACACACACACAACUGGACUUAUGUGUUUGUUGCUGCAUUAUCCAUGCUUUUGGUUUUAGUUGUGUAAUAUUGGUGUGUUUGUGUUGUUUCUAAACAUUUGAAAGGACUAUACUCAUUUCUACUUCUCUGUGUGAGACAGAUGUGUUGCUGCAUAAUCCAUGCUUUUCUGUAUCCUGAAAUAAGUUUGUUUUUGUAAUUGUGUUUAUUUUAGACUUGUACUGAUUCAGUUCUUCCAAAGACUCGAAUGGACUAUACUUCCCUUUACACACACACACAAACACACACUCUUACACUUUAAUGCUAAUGAAGAUUUGUGUUGUAACUCAGGUAUGUUUGAGCGCACACUUCUGGGGAUGUGUGUGUGUGUGGCACUUUGUCUCUCUCAGAAUGCUGACUCUGUUUCUGAUGCUGAGCAACACACUGAGCAGCAGGAUCCAUUCACACACAAACAAACCUAUGUCCAUGUCAAUAAUAGGCUGGGUGUGUUCAUUGCUGCUGCAGUGGGAACCAUGACGCUUAUGGGAGUGAUCUACUGCAUCUACAACCACUUCUACACUAAACAUCCAUACACACACACACAGCUACAGGAGACAGACUCCACUGUGGAUAUGAGUGGACUGUCCCCUCCUGUUUUUCAUAGUUGUGGGAGAACAGAUGGGUGGAUGAUGCGAGGAACGGGGAGAGGUGGAGAAGGCGUUAGUUACGGUUCUCUCUCUGACACGCCCUCCAUCAUCACUCUCCCUCCAGCACUCUCUCCCACGCCUCUUGCAUCACCCUUUCCCCCACCUCGCCCACCACGCCCUGCCCCGCUCAGAACAAUCUCUGCCCAGGAGCUGCAGAAAAACUUCCUCUGACAAGCCCCUCAUUCCAAAGAGCUCGACCAGUCAGAUUAGAGUGCAGUAAAUGCUAUGUCACUGUCCAAUCCUAUAGUGCUUUUAACAAUGUAUAUACAGUAAUCCCCCGCUUUACCAUGGUUCCAAUCUCACGCCCCCGGUUUAGCAUGCGCUUUUUUGUUUAUCGUGGCCGGUUUUGGAACGUAACGGGGGAUUACUGUAGUCUUCCAAUAGUGUUUACUAUUUGAGGUACCACCAAACUAUUUGCUUGAAGUAGGUGUGAUAGAUGAUAAUAAACCAAAAGUUUGCUUAUACUAUAGCGACUAUAGAGUAGCAAGUAGCGAGACUAUAGCGACCGUGCAGUGCUUUGUAGGAUUUGAAUGGGAGCCAAUGUCAACUAAAUACAGGGGUAAUGUGAUUAGAGUGUAGUACGCCUGUCUUAUCACUGAGCUCGACCAAUUAGAUAAGGGUGUAAAAGCCAAAUUAAGUUGUCUAAUUACAUCCCCAAUUCCAAAAAAGUAGUAACACUGUGUAAAAUGUAAAUAAAAACAGAAUGUAUUGAUUUGCAAAUAUCAUAAAUCCAUAUUUUAUUUACAAUAGAACAUAGAAUACAUAUCACAUGUUCAAACUGAGAAUGUAUAGCAUUUUAAGGAUAAAAUUAGGAUAUGUUGAAUUUAAUGGUUGCAACAAAUCUAAAAAAAAGUCACUACAAGACCAUGUAUAGUGCCAUGUCUUCUGUCUGUAUACAUUUGGGAACUGAGGAGACCAGUUGCUGAAGUUUUUUGGAGAGAGAUGUUGUCCCAUAUGUGGGUUAUACAGGAUUUUAUUUGCUUAACACAUCUGGGUUUCCUUUGUUGUGUUUUUGUUUCAUGAUGCACAGAAUAUUUUCAAAUGGUGAAAGUGAACUGAGCACUGAUGGUUCCUCUCAUCUUUAGUCUGAAGGACGUGGUACCCAUGGCUUCUUAAAAGAAAUUUAGAUUACGAUUUUCUGACCACAAGAACAGUUUUCCACUUUGCCUCUGUAUAUUUAAAAUGAGCUUUGGCCCAGAGAGGAUAGCAGCGUUUUUUAGAUCAUAUUCAUGCAUGCCUCAUCCUUUGCAUGAUAGAUUUAACUAUUCAAUUCAAUUCAUUUUUAUUUGUAUAGCGCUUUUAACAAUGAACUUUGUCUCAAAGCAGCUUUACACAGAUAAUGUGGUGAUUAAACAUAAAGGGUAGAAGGUCUUGUGAGGUCUUGUGAGAUUGUCUGAAGCAUAGUUGAAGAGAUUUUAUCCAGGUGGUGGGAUUUCAAGAUUGGAUGAUUUACAGUAUCUCUUCUUCUGCUAUGGUUGAGAAACUAGACAAUUAAAUAGAAGGGGUUCCUGGGUUUGUAGUGUAGUUAUUGUUGGGGAAGAAGGGGGCAGAUUUCCUUAAUAUUCUUACGGUAAAAGGAGGCAAAGUCUUCAGCAGUCAGGGAGAAUGAAGCAGGUGGAGCAUUCGGGCUGAGUAGUGAAGAGAUGAUGGGGAGCUUACAAGCAUCUUGUGCAGAAGCCUCAAGCUUAUUUACAUUUUACACAGUGUCCCAUUUUUCUAUGGAAUUGGGGUUGUAUGUCCAGGUUUAGAAUGAGCUUCUUCCAGUCACACUGAGGAGAGAGGGAGAGGGAGAGGGGGAGAGAGAGAGUGUGUGUGU